Molecule: small nucleolar RNA, 139 nt
Filed under: Crocodylus porosus (Australian saltwater crocodile)
Lineage: Eukaryota; Metazoa; Chordata; Crocodylia; Crocodylidae
Description: Small Cajal body specific RNA 11 (ENSCPRG00005007687.1)
Rfam family: Small Cajal body specific RNA 11
About the family: scaRNAs are a specific class of small nuclear RNAs which localise to the Cajal bodies and guide the modification of RNA polymerase II transcribed spliceosomal RNAs U1, U2, U4, U5 and U12. ACA57 belongs to the H/ACA box class of guide RNAs as it has the predicted hairpin-hinge-hairpin-tail structure, conserved H/ACA-box motifs and is found associated with GAR1. ACA57 is predicted to guide the pseudouridylation of the U5 spliceosomal RNA at position U43.
Source: Rfam by way of RNAcentral
GCGUCGUGACCCUGGCAAAGUUGCUCCCUUCACCAGAGCUGUGGUGGAGAGAUUCAGGGUAGACGCAGAUCAAUUUGUCUCUCAGUUUAGGAGGGCUGCCAGAGAAAUGUGCAUGCCCUUAAAGGCACGAGAGGACAUC